Molecule: ribosomal RNA, 253 nt
Filed under: uncultured bacterium
Lineage: Bacteria
Description: partial 16S ribosomal RNA
Rfam family: Bacterial small subunit ribosomal RNA
Source: RNAcentral
UACAGAGGUCCCAAGCGUUGUUCGGAUUCAUUGGGCGUAAAGGGCGCGUAGGCGGUUUUUUAAGUGAGGCGUGAAAGCCCUGGGCUUAACCCAGGAGGUGCGUUUCAUACUGAAAGACUUGAGUACGAGAGAGGAAAGCGGAAUUCCUAGUGUAGAGGUGAAAUUCGUAGAUAUUAGGAAGAACACCAGUGGCGAAGGCGGCUUUCUGGCUCGUAACUGACGCUGAGGCGCGAAAGCGUGGGGAGCAAACAGG